GGUAAAAAGGCUGAAGGUUUAAGCGGCGGUUUGUAGUCCCGAUAAAAUAGGUUAGAAUCCUUUUUUUACCA
This 71-nucleotide transfer RNA is filed under the name Gymnopis multiplicata. RNAcentral describes it as "tRNA-Tyr". It matches the Rfam family "tRNA". From Rfam's summary of the family: Transfer RNA (tRNA) molecules are approximately 80 nucleotides in length. Their secondary structure includes four short double-helical elements and three loops (D, anti-codon, and T loops). Further hydrogen bonds mediate the characteristic L-shaped molecular structure. tRNAs have two regions of fundamental functional importance: the anti-codon, which is responsible for specific mRNA codon recognition, and the 3' end, to which the tRNAs corresponding amino acid is attached (by aminoacyl-tRNA synthetases). tRNAs cope with the degeneracy of the genetic code in two manners: having more than one tRNA (with a specific anti-codon) for a particular amino acid; and 'wobble' base-pairing, i.e. permitting non-standard base-pairing at the 3rd anti-codon position. Lineage: Eukaryota; Metazoa; Chordata; Amphibia; Gymnophiona; Dermophiidae. The record is from RNAcentral.